AGAACCUAAUAAUGACUUGACCAUAAGCCUCUUUACAGAAGAAACUCCACAGAGCCCUUUGCUCCCAUUCUUAUGCCAUGCAGCAAAGACCGGUUCACAGUUCUACUACUUAAAAAGUCUACAGAAAAUAAACUAAGGAGGAAUGAGUCGCAGCACCAGCAGAUUCAACAUCGCAGCCCUCUCAGUAAGGAGCUUCCUCGGUUUGCUUUCGGGGGUUGCGAGCCUCCGGUGGAGAGGAGCCAGAGAGACCGAGUGGCUGUGGAAGAGGAACUUGACCGCGCACUAGUUCAAGGACAGCUGCGGUGCCGUGCGGCUGCGGGCCAACUGUGACGCAGAACCGUAGGGAGCACCUUCCAUCCGCCCCUGCUGCUACCUUAGUCCCAGGGACAAGCACGUCCAAAGCGCUCCAGAGCCUGCGCAUCGGGAGCGGGCAGCGCCUGGAGGGAGCGGCCGAGGCGCGGACACGGACUCCUGGGCAGUAGAGUUUGGAAAGGAGCCGCAGGGGCUGGGCCAGGAGACAAGUCCUUGCGGUAAAUACAGCCCUGCUGUUAGUCGUCCCUCUUCUCUACCUUCAGACGCUGCCUGUCCCCUGACUUCUCACUCGGGGAGGUUCACUUUCAAGGGCAUCCUUCACAGAAUUGGCCAGGAGCCACAGUGGCAAAUCUCCCUCCAUCAUCCCAGGGCAAGGAAUAGCAUGUUCUGCUCUUGCCAACUGCUUGGUAUGGUGUUAACAUGACUGAUUGAGUCAGCUUUGUGCACAGCCAGUAACCAGAGCAGAUUCCAGGAACUGGAUGUAAGCAAGUGAGAUGCUGUUUUUUAAUAUCUCAAAACAUGACUCCAUGGGAGAUGCAAGCAACAGGAGAAAGGUGAGUUAUUAUAAGCAGUAUUUCUAACUGCUCUUCAACGUA
This is a long non-coding RNA of Manis javanica (Malayan pangolin), 908 nucleotides long. RefSeq lists it as uncharacterized. NCBI's taxonomy places the organism in Eukaryota, Metazoa, Chordata, Mammalia, Pholidota, Manidae. The record is from RefSeq and is a predicted model, not a curated record.